UACGUAGGGUGCGAGCGUUAAUCGGAAUUACUGGGCAUAAAGCGCACGUAGGCGGUCCGUUAAGUCAUGUGUGAAAUCCCCCGGCUCAACCGGGGAAUUGCGCCUGAUACUGGCGGGCUAGAGAUCGAUAGGGGUGAGUGGAACUCCAGGUGGAGCGGUGAAAUGCGUAGAUAUCUGGAGGAACACCGGUGGCGAAAGCGGCUCACUGGAUCGAUACUGACGCUGAGGUGCGAAAGCUAGGGUAGCAAACGGG
RNAcentral lists this ribosomal RNA (253 nucleotides) under uncultured bacterium. RNAcentral's name for it is "partial 16S ribosomal RNA". It matches the Rfam family "Bacterial small subunit ribosomal RNA", at positions 524 to 776 of the family's 1533-position model. The record is from RNAcentral.